This 496-nucleotide ribosomal RNA is filed under the name uncultured bacterium. RNAcentral describes it as "partial 16S ribosomal RNA". It matches the Rfam family "Bacterial small subunit ribosomal RNA", at positions 29 to 507 of the family's 1533-position model. The record is from RNAcentral.
AUGAACGCUGGCGGCGUGCCUAAUACAUGCAAGUCGAGCGAACAGACGAGGAGCUUGCUCCUCUGACGUUAGCGGCGGACGGGUGAGUAACACGUGGAUAACCUACCUAUAAGACUGGGAUAACUUCGGGAAACCGGAGCUAAUACCGGAUAAUAUAUUGAACCGCAUGGUUCAAUAGUGAAAGACGGUUUUGCUGUCACUUAUAGAUGGAUCCGCGCCGCAUUAGCUAGUUGGUAAGGUAACGGCUUACCAAGGCAACGAUGCGUAGCCGACCUGAGGGGGUGAUCGGCCACACUGGAACUGAGACACGGUCCAGACUCCUACGGGAGGCAGCAGUAGGGAAUCUUCCGCAAAGGGCGAAAGCCUGACGGAGCAACGCCGCGUGAGUGAUGAAGGUCUUCGGAUCGUAAAACUCUGUUAUUAGGGAAGAACAAAUGUGUAAGUAACUAUGCACGUCUUGACGGUACCUAAUCAGAAAGCCACGGCUAACUACGUG